RNAcentral lists this transfer RNA (66 nucleotides) under Ixodes uriae (common seabird tick). Lineage: Eukaryota; Metazoa; Arthropoda; Arachnida; Ixodida; Ixodidae. The record is from RNAcentral.
GAUUAUUUAACUAUAACAAGUAUAUAUUUUGAAAAUAUAAAAAAGAAUUCUUAAUUCUAAUAAUCU